GUUAGGAUGGUUGAGUGGUUUAAGGUGCCAAACUCAAGUUUUGGUGUUUGUGAGACAAUGUGGGUUCAAAUCCCACGUCUGACA
Molecule: transfer RNA, 84 nt
Filed under: Ipomoea nil (Japanese morning glory)
Lineage: Eukaryota; Viridiplantae; Streptophyta; Magnoliopsida; Solanales; Convolvulaceae
Rfam family: tRNA
About the family: Transfer RNA (tRNA) molecules are approximately 80 nucleotides in length. Their secondary structure includes four short double-helical elements and three loops (D, anti-codon, and T loops).
Source: Rfam by way of RNAcentral